Molecule: ribosomal RNA, 440 nt
Filed under: uncultured bacterium
Lineage: Bacteria
Description: partial 16S ribosomal RNA
Rfam family: Bacterial small subunit ribosomal RNA
Source: RNAcentral
CCUACGGGAGGCAGCAGUGGGGGAUAUUGCACAAUGGGGGGAACCCUGAUGCAGCGACGCCGCGUGGGUGAAGAAGCGCCUCGGCGCGUAAAGCCCUGUCAGCAGGGAAGAAAAUGACGGUACCUGAAGAAGAAGCCCCGGCUAACUACGUGCCAGCAGCCGCGGUAAUACGUAGGGGGCAAGCGUUAUCCGGAUUUACUGGGUGUAAAGGGAGCGUAGACGGCAAUACAAGUCGGAAGUGAAAUACCCGGGCUCAACCUGGGAACUGCUUUGGAAACUGUAUGGCUGGAGUGCUGGAGAGGUAAGCGGAAUUCCUAGUGUAGCGGUGAAAUGCGUAGAUAUUAGGAGGAACACCAGUGGCGAAGGCGGCUUACUGGACAGUAACUGACGUUGAGGCUCGAAAGCGUGGGGAGCAAACAGGAUUAGAUACCCUAGUAGUC